UUUGCGAGUUAGGAAAAGAUAGAGAGAAAAAGGAAUAAGGAUCAGAGUAGCACAGCGAAAGCUGUGGAGUUUAGAUCUUGUUUGUUUGUUUGUUUGUGUUUUUAACAUUCGAGGACGAAUGUUUUAUAAGGGGGGAAGAUUGUAAUACCCGGCUAAAUCAGGCAUCGGAAUUUCUACCGUCCGGUGGAAUUCGGGGAUGUCAGAG
RNAcentral lists this long non-coding RNA (205 nucleotides) under Manihot esculenta (cassava). RNAcentral's name for it is "long non-coding RNA (MESC_LNC008708)". Lineage: Eukaryota; Viridiplantae; Streptophyta; Magnoliopsida; Malpighiales; Euphorbiaceae. The record is from RNAcentral.